UGGCAAUUGUUUAUUACAGUAAUAUUAGUAGAUAUAGCACUGAAUAUCUAAAUUUUAAUUUAGAAGGGAGUUUUAUUAACUUAUCUUGGAUAUUUAAUCUCAGAAUGACUAAUAUGAAUUAGGUAAAUAAUCAGACUUUUUGCGAUAAGGUGAA
Molecule: ribosomal RNA, 154 nt
Filed under: Pneumocystis sp.
Lineage: Eukaryota; Fungi; Ascomycota; Pneumocystomycetes; Pneumocystales; Pneumocystaceae
Description: partial large subunit ribosomal RNA
Source: RNAcentral